AGCUCCAAUAGCGUAUAUUAAAGUUGUUGCAGUUAAAAGCUCGUAGUUGGAUUUCUGAGCCUUGAGUUGUGGUCCGCCGCAAGGUGUGCACUGCAGUUGAGGCUCUUCUUCUUGAAGACUAGGCAUGUUCUUAACUGAGUGUGUUUAGGAUUCAAGACCUUUACUUUGAAAAAUUAGAGUGUUCAAAGCAGGCGUUCGCUUGAAUACAUUAGCAUGGAAUAAUGGAAUAGGACUAGGGUUCUAUUUUGUUGGUUUCUAGGACUUUAGUAAUGAUUAAUAGGGAUAGUUGGGGGCAUUAGUAUUUAAUUGUCAGAGGUGAAAUUCUUGGAUUUAUGAAAGACUAACUUCUGCGAAAGCAUUUGCCAAGGAUGUUUUCA
Molecule: ribosomal RNA, 377 nt
Filed under: uncultured eukaryote
Lineage: Eukaryota
Description: SSU rRNA
Rfam family: Eukaryotic small subunit ribosomal RNA
Source: RNAcentral